RNAcentral lists this transfer RNA (64 nucleotides) under Homologenus malayensis. RNAcentral describes it as "tRNA-Ala". Lineage: Eukaryota; Metazoa; Arthropoda; Malacostraca; Decapoda; Homolidae. The record is from RNAcentral.
AAAACUAUAGUCAAAUUUAUGACAUAUGAGUUGCAUUCAUAAAGUGUUUAUUAAACUAGUUUUA